Molecule: long non-coding RNA, 499 nt
Filed under: Rattus norvegicus (Norway rat)
Lineage: Eukaryota; Metazoa; Chordata; Mammalia; Rodentia; Muridae
Description: long non-coding RNA NONRATT032531
Source: RNAcentral
AAUUAAAACAAUCCUCUCUCUCUCUCUCUCUCUCUCUCUCUCUCUCUCUCUCUCUCUCACAGAUAGUGAAGGAAAAUAUUCUGAAGUAAUCAGAAAGUCCAGUGCUAUUGAACUAUUAUUUACACUCUAUCCUCCUCAAGGUGCCAGAGUGAACGCUGGCACAAGACUGCGGUCCACGUGGCUGAGACCCUUGGUGGAUGGGGAAGAAGGCUAUAAGUACAUAGCACCCUUCCUACCUAGUCUCAGUGUGCUGGAGGCUUCCAAGGGUGUUGUAAGACUCCCUCAUCUGAUGAAUCAGUAUCAAGAAAAAAAGGGAAAGAAGAACGUCUUGACAGUAUUAGAUUAGAGAGCUAAUCUCUGUGAAGAUCUCCACACCGUUUCAUCUCUGUGCAGGUUUGUGAACUUUUGCAGGAGGCUUCCAGUAUCUAACCCCAUAGGGCUAUGAGGAAAUUUGAGUCAUCUGGAUCAGGGCUUUAAACUUUUCUUCACCACAGAUGCC